This is a long non-coding RNA of Astatotilapia calliptera (eastern happy), 327 nucleotides long. The record is from Ensembl. NCBI's taxonomy places the organism in Eukaryota, Metazoa, Chordata, Actinopteri, Cichliformes, Cichlidae.
UGAAAAAAUAGCUUAUAUUACAUCUGUGGUCGACUAGUUCACUAGGCGAGAGCCAGCAAAAUAAGCUGUUUGCCCUACCUGAUCAAUAAUUUCACGUGUUUGUCUUUGCAGAGCAGAUUCCUCCACCUAAAGCAAGACACACGGAAACGAGACGGAUUUGCUGACUACAACUACCAAGAGGAACGCAUAGCGCGCAAAGGACUAUGGGUUUCGUAGUAAACUUUCCUGUGAAUGGCUGCCUCCGGUCAGCAUGCUGGGAGUUCACUCGUUGUUUACGAUCAUUUCACCGCAGACGAGAACACUGUGCAGUCUGAGUCAGAAACGGUG